UUCUGACAGUUACAACUGACAUUUGCCAAGACAGGAGACUUAUCAUG
RNAcentral lists this non-coding RNA (47 nucleotides) under unclassified sequences. The record is from RNAcentral.